AAAGUUUGACUUAAUUUUUUAUCUAAGAGAAUCAUCUUUUUUAUUCAUUGUGGUUGUAUUUGUUAAAGAAUUCAUUAUUGGUUUUAAAGUUAAGAGUACCGUGAGGGAAAGUUUAGUAUUAUAAUUUUUAAAAAAGAAGAAUUAAAGAUUCGUACCUUGUGUAUCAGGGUUAGACUAACUAUAUUUUAUAUAAAAUAAUCCCGAAUUUAAGUGAGUUAUAAAAAUUUAAAAGUAAUUGUGGUAUAACUUUUUUAAAUAUUUUUAUAGGAUGAAAAGUCAGGCGAACUUUUAUAUCUGGUUUCUCAAAAAAUAAAUUUAAUUUAGUUAACAAGGAGUUUUUUUUCAAUUUAAAAAAAUAAAUUUUUGUUAGUAAAGUUUUAGAGGGAUGAGCUUUUAAAACAAGUAUAUAUAAUGUUUAUAUUUUCUUUUUAAUGAAAUAAGGUUUAAUAAUGACCUAAAAUAAAAAGUUUGUUAUUAUUUACAUUGGUAAUUUUAAUAUUUAUUUUCAUUUAUGUGUUUAUUGAGAUAAAGAAGAUAAUAAUGCACUUCUUGAAAUACUGUCUAAAUUAGUAGAAGACUUUGUUUUUAUAAAUUUUUAUAUAAUUUUAUUCUAUGUUUUUAUGCUAGAUUUUUAUAAGGAACUCGGCAAAUAUCUUUCCGCAUGUUUAUCAAAAACAUCUCUUUUAGAAAAUUAAAAGUACCGCCUGCUCAAUGCUUAAGUAAAUAGCCGCAGUAUUUUGACUGUGCUAAGGUAGCAUAAUCAUUAGUCUCUUGAUUAGAGGCUGGUAUGAAUGGCGUGACGAGAAAGUAGCUGUCUCAUAAUAAGUAAUUGAAUUUCAUUUCUUAGUGAAAAAGCUAAGAUUGUUUUGAAGGACGAUCAGACCCUUUGGAGCUUUAUAAUUUCUUUUAGAUAUAUUUAUAUUAAAAAAUAAUUUAGUAGAAAUUAUUUCGUUGGGGCGACGAAGAGUUUAAAAGUAACACUCUUUUUAUUAAACAUAAAUAAAUGUAUAAUUGAUCCUUAAAGCAAGAUUAAAAGAUUAAGUUACCCUAGGGAUAACAGCGUAAUCUUUUUAGAGAGUUCAUAUCGAUAAAAAGGUUUGCGACCUCGAUGUUGGAUUAAGAAAUUAGCAAGGUGCAGAAGUUUUGCUGGAAAGUCUGUUCGACUUUUAAUUUCUUACAUGAUCUGAGUUCAAACCGGCGUAAGCCAGGUUGGUUUCUAUCCUCAAAAUUAAUAAAAUUUUCUUAGUACGAAAGGAUUGGAGAAUUAAGUAUUUCUUUAAAAAUAGAUUUAAACUAAAUAUUUAAAAAGAUUG
Molecule: ribosomal RNA, 1313 nt
Filed under: Simocephalus vetulus
Lineage: Eukaryota; Metazoa; Arthropoda; Branchiopoda; Diplostraca; Daphniidae
Description: large subunit ribosomal RNA
Rfam family: Bacterial large subunit ribosomal RNA (bases 867-1226)
Source: RNAcentral